This 93-nucleotide transfer RNA is filed under the name Pseudomonas putida BIRD-1. Its description in RNAcentral is "tRNA-Asp (GTC) (tRNA-Asp-GTC-2-1)". It matches the Rfam family "tRNA". From Rfam's summary of the family: Transfer RNA (tRNA) molecules are approximately 80 nucleotides in length. The record is from RNAcentral. Lineage: Bacteria; Pseudomonadati; Pseudomonadota; Gammaproteobacteria; Pseudomonadales; Pseudomonadaceae.
GCAGCGGUAGUUCAGUGCGUUAGAAGUUCAGUCGGUUAGAAUACCGGCCUGUCACGCCGGGGGUCGCGGGUUCGAGUCCCGUCCGCUGCGCCA